GUAGGGAAUAUUGGACAAUGGGCGAAAGCCUGAUCCAGCAAUGCCGCGUGAGUGAUGAAGGCCUUAGGGUUGUAAAGCUCUUUUACCAGGGAUGAUAAUGACAGUACCUGGAGAAUAAGCUCCGGCUAACUCCGUGCCAGCAGCCGCGGUAAUACGGAGGGAGCUAGCGUUGUUCGGAAUUACUGGGCGUAAAGCGCGCGUAGGCGGCGAUUUAAGUCAGAGGUGAAAGCCCGGGGCUCAACCCCGGAAUAGCCUUUGAGACUGGAUUGCUAGAAUCCUGGAGAGGUGAGUGGAAUUCCGAGUGUAGAGGUGAAAUUCGUAGAUAUUCGGAAGAACACCAGUGGCGAAGGCGGCUCACUGGACAGGUAUUGACACUGAGGUGCGAAAGCGUGGGGAGCAAACAGGAUUAGAAACCCUAGUAGUCC
RNAcentral lists this ribosomal RNA (425 nucleotides) under uncultured bacterium. RNAcentral's name for it is "partial 16S ribosomal RNA". It matches the Rfam family "Bacterial small subunit ribosomal RNA", at positions 354 to 796 of the family's 1533-position model. The record is from RNAcentral.